This 252-nucleotide unclassified non-coding RNA is filed under the name uncultured Paenibacillaceae bacterium. Its description in RNAcentral is "contains 16S-23S intergenic spacer region". It matches the Rfam family "Bacterial small subunit ribosomal RNA", at positions 524 to 776 of the family's 1533-position model. The record is from RNAcentral. Lineage: Bacteria; Bacillati; Bacillota; Bacilli; Caryophanales; Paenibacillaceae.
UACGUAGGGGGCAAGCGUUGUCCGGAAUUAUUGGGCGUAAAGCGCGCGCAGGCGGCGGUUUAAGUUUGGUGUUUAAGCCCGGGGCUCAACUCCGGUUCGCACCGAAAACUGGAUCGCUUGAGUGCAGGAGAGGGAAGUGGAAUUCCACGUGUAGCGGUGAAAUGCGUAGAGAUGUGGAGGAACACCAGUGGCGAAGGCGACUUCCUGGCCUGUAACUGACGCUGAGGCGCGAAAGCGUGGGGAGCAAACAGG